CGCAUCCAGUCGGUGGUGUGCGGCGCGGCGGGGGCGGCGGGGGCGGGUGGGGCGGCGGGCGAGGCGCGCGCGGAGGACGCCUCCGUGUACUACGACGCGACCGACCACCAGCGGGACAAGCGUUCGUCGACUCGCAGCGCGGACAAGAGCCACAGCCCCGCCCUAGAGAGGACCAGACUCGAUGCUAUACAGGACAGAAGCAGUUCAAUUCGACGAGACGGCAGCGCCGCCGGAGACGCGUCGAGCCUUAGAGAUCGCUCGUCGGGCAGCGGGUCCCGCAUCCCGGUGGCGCGGGGCGGCGGGGGCGUGCCCGGGGCCGGCGGG
This is a long non-coding RNA of Zerene cesonia (dogface butterfly), 324 nucleotides long. RefSeq lists it as uncharacterized. NCBI's taxonomy places the organism in Eukaryota, Metazoa, Arthropoda, Insecta, Lepidoptera, Pieridae. The transcript has 4 exons. The record is from RefSeq and is a predicted model, not a curated record.